RNAcentral lists this ribosomal RNA (650 nucleotides) under uncultured marine bacterium. RNAcentral describes it as "bacterial SSU rRNA". It matches the Rfam family "Bacterial small subunit ribosomal RNA", at positions 96 to 781 of the family's 1533-position model. The record is from RNAcentral.
CGGCGGACGGGUUAGUAACGCGUGGGAACAUACCCUUUACUACGGAAUAGCCUCGGGAAACUGAGAGUAAUACCGUAUGUGCCCUUCGGGGGAAAGAUUUAUCGGGAAAGGAUUGGCCCGCGUUAGAUUAGAUAGUUGGUGGGGUAAUGGCCUACCAAGUCUACGAUCUAUAGCUGGUUUUAGAGGAUGAUCAGCAACACUGGGACUGAGACACGGCCCAGACUCCUACGGGAGGCAGCAGUGGGGAAUCUUAGACAAUGGGCGCAAGCCUGAUCUAGCCAUGCCGCGUGUGUGAUGAAGGUCUUAGGAUCGUAAAGCACUUUCGCCAGGGAUGAUAAUGACAGUACCUGGUAAAGAAACCCCGGCUAACUCCGUGCCAGCAGCCGCGGUAAUACGGAGGGGGUUAGCGUUGUUCGGAAUUACUGGGCGUAAAGCGUACGUAGGCGGAUUGGAAAGUUGGGGGUGAAAUCCCAGGGCUCAACCCUGGAACUGCCUCCAAAACUAUCAGUCUAGAGUUCGAGAGAGGUGAGUGGAAUUCCAAGUGUAGAGGUGAAAUUCGUAGAUAUUUGGAGGAACACCAGUGGCGAAGGCGGCUCACUGGCUCGAUACUGACGCUGAGGUACGAAAGUGUGGGGAGCAAACAGGAUUAG